CAGUGCAGCCAGCAUCCAGACACUCAGGAGCAAGGUAUUUUCUACCAAUGGAGUUCAUUUUGAAUACCAUAAUAAAGAAGAUUAUUUUACAUAUCUAAGGUAUUUUCUACCAAUGGAGUUCAUUUUGAAUACCAUAAUAAAGAAGAUUAUUUUACAUAUCUAAGGUAU
Long non-coding RNA from Pseudophryne corroboree (corroboree frog), 168 nucleotides. RefSeq lists it as uncharacterized. The transcript is spliced from 3 exons. Lineage: Eukaryota; Metazoa; Chordata; Amphibia; Anura; Myobatrachidae. The record is from RefSeq and is a predicted model, not a curated record.